RNAcentral lists this small RNA (3215 nucleotides) under Rattus norvegicus (Norway rat). RNAcentral describes it as "uncharacterized LOC102556079". Lineage: Eukaryota; Metazoa; Chordata; Mammalia; Rodentia; Muridae. The record is from RNAcentral.
UCUCAAACGCUAGGCUUAGGAAAUAAUCACACGACUGACUUCACCACCGCCUGCUUGAUGAGCUUCCGGUCUGAGCACCAGGAAGCGAGAGCACAGAAGAUGUCCGGAGGCACAACCUCUCAGGCACUGUCUUCAGCAAGUCAUAAAACUGUCGUACCUCAGCGGGGUAAAAUCAGAAUCCAGAAGGUUUUUUUGUUUGUUUGUUUGUUUUUUGUUUUUUGUUUUUUGCUUUUUUUUUCUGUCAUCUGAUGGUUAUGGUCAGAAUUUCACUGGAAGUAAGAAAACUGGUAUUGCAAACAGAUGGAUGGAUGAGAGUCUGUACCUUGAAUUUAAUGUCUCUUCAGAAAUAUUAUCACCAUAAUAGAUUUUAAAAGCACCGCUAGGAACCGUGAUAUACUCACAUUUUUGAUGACAUAGAUGUAACCUUAUCUUUUGUGACUAUCAAGAGGUCAUUAGAAGACAAGAAAACAGGGUGUAUUUUUCAGUCAAGUCAAAGAGAGUCCUUGUUUAUAGAUGGAGAAAGACAACCACAUGGAGACUAAGCUGCCCGUGUUCACAACAGCAACAACAGAAGCACACCCAAGAAGGCUAUUUCUAAAGAAAGUCUCCAUCUCUACCAUACAAGUAGACUCCAAGGUCAGGAGCUCACGAGCCUGCAGAACCCUGAGCCGGGACCCUCUGCUGAGCAGAAUCCUGCCUUGGUGCCACCGUUGUUAGACAUCUUACCUCAGCAUAGACGGCAACCUCGAGAGGAGACGCAUGGCUUAAUGUGUGUCUCCAGCUGUCAAAUGACCUACAAAGAAGUUUGAUCAUCAACAACAAAUGUGCAUCCGCUCAGGAGAAGACCCUUACCUCAAACACACAGCGGGAUGGCUGCAGUCCAUGAACUUUGAGUAUGAUGAAAGUCUACUCUCCACACCACCACCAAGACGGGCAGCAGCCAGCCCGUCUUUCCUCAGAUCUGCCUCCGCUUACAGAUUCCUGACUUGCAAACCGAAAAGAAGAAUCUCACGCACCAUUUCUCUGCCAGCUGAGUUCCUGUCCUGGGAUUGAACUUAGCUGUCGCGCUUGAGAGAUGGCGUUUUUACCAGGUAAGCCAUCUCCCUGGCCCCUUUCAGUGCCCUUUAUGUUCAAGAAUAAGAAGUCUGCAUCUGAAGAACGUGAAGGUGGAUCGACGAUAUCAGCAACGUUAAUUGGCUCGUUUCUCAGUGGCUACAAAGAAAGGAGCUUGUGAUUAAUAAGGCUUUGAUUUUUCCAGUGUAUUUUAUUUUGAUGUUUUAAGACGGAGCUUCACCGUGUUGCCCAGGCUGCUCCAUCUGCCUCGGUCUUCCAAGUAGCUGGGAUUACAGGCAUGUACCGCCAUGUACCGCCAUGUUGGGCACGGUGUACUUCUAUUUGGUAGUUGAUACAAUGGCAUUAUGCAACACUGACCAGACUUGGUUAGGUCACCUCUUGCAGGGGGGAAUUCUGUGGUUUCCUUUCCCUACUAGACCUGUGUCAUUGAGCAAACUAAAUUAGCAGAGCAAUUCACCCCUACAUAAGCCAUUAAUGAAGUGCCUCCAUUAUACAUGCAUAUUCAUUAGCUCGCCCCUGAGGAAUUCUCCAUCAAUCCCAGCACACAAAGCCCUGACAAGUCAAGACAGAUGAAGCUUCUCCGUGGUCGAGGAGGUGCUAGCUUCCUGUAUUGUAACACGGAGUGAGUGUCCGUGGCGCUUUCCUUUGUAAAGCUGAGAGAUACUGUGGCUCCCACACAAUGGGAGAGGAUCACAGAGCUCACAGGACAACCAGGGCUCGUCUGGUAUGGCACACAGAAUGGGAGCGGUGGCUCUUUUUCAUCUUCCCGUAAACUUCCUGGGAAAUGAUCUUUCUGAAAGCUUCGUUAAGAAGGAAAUGGCCAUCUAGGUUUUAUUUCGGUCCAUAUUCUAAGAAUUUUGAAACAUGAAACGUGUUCCAGGAAAAAUGAAACAACAUUCAGGUUCAUUUCCUAAAGAUUUCCUAGUCAGGGCCUUAUGGUAACUACCUAAUCCCUUCCGAGGACAGCGUCCCAAUGUCCUAGUCACCUCUCCAAUACUCCAUCUUUCUUAAAGGUCCCCACCACUAUACAGUCUACAACCAUUGGAGGACAAAGUAUAUCCAAGUCAGAGCAUUGGUAUUAAGUAAAUACUUCCUUAAUACAACCACUUAGGUAUCCUCCCCCUUACCCCGCCCUGUGUGUGUGUGCGUGUGUUUCUCUGUCUUUCCCCUACUCAUAAGUUGGGGCACAGUCUGUUGCUUCAACUUUCUAACUAAAUCCAGUAUGCUAGGAUGAGAAAGAAGAGAAGAGAAACAAUAAAAAAAAAAAUCAAAACACACUCCACCCCACACCUGGAAACUAUGCCCCUCCCCCAAGCAUUUUGCAGAAGACUGAAGGUGACCAGAAAUGGUGGCUUCGGACUGAGAAAUCCCUCGGAAAGGAGGAAUAUCCCUUUGGCCUCACAGUGCUUGCAAGGCUGCAGUUACAGAGCAAGUAAUGUCCUUAAACUCCCCAGGAAUUGAAGAUCCUUAGUACACUGAUGACAAAUUUAUUUGAGAAAGAUUGUCAUCUGAGGAGGCUGACUUUCGUCCCCAAAUUUGGGGUUUUAAGAAGCAAAUUAGAGCCAGGUUCUUGGCAACAGAGCUGAUAAAAUAUUUAAUACAGAAGAAAUUAAAAAUAAAUAAACAAGUUUAAAAUGAAUGUAAAUUUUAAAAAAAAACAUGAAGUAUUUGACUAUAAAAUAUUUUGUUGGAGUUUUUAACGGGCACCAGAAUUUGACUAUGUUCAUCCUGCCACUUACAAGAAAUAAAAAAGGAAGGCAGAAAUCACGGAGAGUCACAGGAUGACUCCUCGCUUGUCAUUAACAUCUUUUACGAUGGCAGUAGGAAAGAGUCGCUGACCCAGCUAGCCUGGAUUAAUACUGAGCUCUAUGCCGAAGAGAAUCAACCCACAAAAUCCUUUAACUGUAGGCCGUGGGCAGAGGGCAUUUCCCUGAAAGGAAGGACACACAAAGGCUCACCUGAGCACAUGCUUGGAACGACCCAUUAGCUCAUUUGAAUCUUCAAUCUGUAGAUCUGGAGGGCUGGAGGGCAUCGAGGACCAUUUUGAUACAGGCAGAGGCAGAAUUUGCUCUGUUUCAAUUUUAGAAUCUGUGCUAAAAUGGGCAAUUUAGAAUAAUAAAGCUAUCAUGUGCUUCUUGGUC